ACAGACAAUAUUAUACACGUUUCUGUACAACUUGACAUCACCGAUUUAAACUCUGAAAGUGACAAGGACAGGGAAAUUGAGUUUUCACUUUAUCUUCGAAUGAAUUGGACUGACAGACGGUUAGAUUUUACUGAAAACAAAACCACAUAUGAUAUUAUUCCAUUGGGAGAUGAUAUAGUUAAUAGCCUUUGGAUACCAGACCUAUACUUUAUAGAAGAACGAAAUUCACUAUUGCAUGGGCUAUUAACAAGCAAUCAGUUGGCAUUCAUCCAUAAAAAUGGAGACGUAUUCUACAGUGGCAGGUUUAAUAUUAAAGCACACUGUGUAAUGAGUUUCAAAAAAUACCCAUUUGACGAGCAAUCCUGCGAAAUUUCCAUUCAAAGUU
Long non-coding RNA from Ruditapes philippinarum (Manila clam), 385 nucleotides. RefSeq lists it as uncharacterized. Lineage: Eukaryota; Metazoa; Mollusca; Bivalvia; Venerida; Veneridae. The record is from RefSeq and is a predicted model, not a curated record. The transcript is spliced from 3 exons.